Molecule: ribosomal RNA, 261 nt
Filed under: uncultured bacterium
Lineage: Bacteria
Description: partial 16S ribosomal RNA
Rfam family: Bacterial small subunit ribosomal RNA
Source: RNAcentral
UGUCCUACGGGAGGCAGCAGUGGGGAAUAUUGCACAAUGGGGGAAACCCUGAUGCAGCGACGCCGCGUGAGUGAAGAAGUAUUUCGGUAUGUAAAGCUCUAUCAGCAGGGAAGAAAAUGACGGUACCUGACUAAGAAGCCCCGGCUAACUACGUGCCAGCAGCCGCGGUAAUACGUAGGGGGCAAGCGUUAUCCGGAUUUACUGGGUGUAAAGGGAUCGUAGACGGUCAGACAAGUCAGAAGUGAAAGCCCAGGGCUCAAC